AGAGGAGGAUUGGCGGCAGAUGUUAGCUCAGGGCUGAUCUUCCUCACAAAAAAAUAGAUAAAAGCUCCUUAUCCUCUAGAAACCUGGGCCCUAGUGGGCCCCGCCCCAUUGCUGCUGCGGGGGCCGUGCCCUAGGUUGACAUCUGGGGAUUUCCUGGUCAGUGCUCUGGCCACGUGACCUGCAUUGUGUGGGAACAUGAACAAGUCUGUGACCUAUAGGCUUCUCAUCUCAAAGAUGAGCAGAGUGAUAACCCACUUUUUGGGGCCAGAGCUGCCCCGUGGAGGGUUCCCCUGUCCUUUUGUUCUUAACGUCUUUCGUGCCCUGAGGGGAUUGUCAUUCCUAAAGUGCAGUCUGCAGUCCUGCUGACCACCUACACCGAGGUGGCCUUGGGGGGCCUGGAUGGUCUAAAGGGGCCAGGCAGCAAAGUCAUGCGUUGCCUCCAUUUGGUUCCUCCUUGUGUGCAGUGGGGCAGCCAGCCUUGUCAUCUGCAAAUGAAGGAGGCAGCUUCUAGGGUUAACGUGGGUCUUACGUGAGAGCUCACACAGUGGAAAAGGAAUAGGUUUGUAAGCGCUAAGGGCUACCUGGGGAGGAGACAGUGUUCGGCAGUCCUUGGCUGGGAGGGGCGGGUCCUGGAGGGAGAGGUUGGGGUACCUAGGACAGAACUUGCCCGGCUUGGGGGGCAGGCCCGGCUUAGCAUUACGCCCCAGCAGCCCUCACCCCAGAGCCAGCAAGGCAAUCAGAGCUGCCCUCCUCGAGCCCAGCUCACCAGGGGAACCCCGGGAGGGGCUCUGCAAAGCCUGUGCUGGGGAGCAUAAAGGCCCAGGAGGGACUGGAACCAUCUAAACACAGAGACAGUUUCCUUCAGGGAGCUCACAGUCUCCUGGGGGAGACGCAGCUGGGACUGCACAGUUGUGAGAGAGCAAGUUUUCCCUUGACCAAGAUCUGGCCAUUCCUGUGGGCCGGGCCUGCUCCAGGAGCUGGGGAAACACCCACGGAGAAGCAGAAGGACGAGGCCCCUGCCUCUUUGAACUGACGUUCUAGCUAGGGGGCCUGGGGAGGCAGACGCUAGAUGAGCAAACAGAGGACAAAAGGUCACAUAAGCACCAAGGAGACCAGCCUGGAGGCGGGUAGAGGGACUGGGUGCUCGUAGCGGAGCCCUGGGGGCCUCGACCACAAAACAUGGAUGAUGGGAGCCCCUUGCCAGGCUGUGGCGAGUGAGGGAGGUCACAGACGUCACGUAUGUGGUGGGCUCUGCCUCUGUCAAUACCCUCAGAGGGCGAUGUUGAGACAUCCUGAGGCGCUGAAGAGCUGCCUGUCGGAGUCUUGCCAUCCCAGGUGGGGCCUCAUGGUGUUUGGAGGAUCAGCAGCCUCUGUUCUCUGAGGCCCUGAGUGAACAUGGCUCUAGAACCAUCCUGCAGAGGGCAGCAGAUUUCCACAAAUAGCCUGCCUCGCGGCCAGCACCUCAUCCCAACCCCAGGGAAGGCUCAGCCGUCACUCUCCCAUCCCUGCGGCCUUCUGCUCUUGGCUGCAGAGUCCGUGAGGGAGCCCCCAACACACCCCAGGAGACAUGGAGCUGCCUUUGCCCUGCAGGAAGUGUGACACGGAGACGUGAGGAGGAGAGGGGCACAGGCAGCAGGGAGAGGGGGCAGUGCUGAGCAGCCACGGCCCGGCCUCCUCAGGGGCCUCAGCCCCCCAGGGCGCGAGGGCAGCCCCCGCUACACUGUCACCUCCAGCUGUUACUCAGGGACGCACAGGCUCCUGCCCCCUCUCUCCUCCAGCAUCCUGAGCCACAAGGCCCAGGCCUCACUCUGCUGCUCCCCAUGACCCUCCCCUGAAUGCCAAGCUCCCCGGUUUGAGUCCAAGGUCCCUCUGGGACUUGCGCCUACUGGCAAUCCUGAACUCUUCCUCCGUGAGCCCCGCGCCUGCAGCCAGCCCAAACUGCUCAGAGCUUGCCUCGAGGCUGCUGUUCCUCCGUCCUCCUGCUCCAUCGCUUCCAGCUGCCUGCUGAAGCUUGUUCAUCUUCAAGAUUCAGUUCAAGCUUGGUUUCCUCUGAGCAGCCUUCUUUGACCCUGCUGUUCCCAUUCCCAUUCCUGUCCCUUCCCUGUGCCCACAGAUGCCAUCAGAGUCCCUGGCACACUCUAGUGCCCCCACGCUGUCACAGCUGUCUCCCCCAGCGGAUAGGGGCUCAUUUUGAUGAACAUUUUAAAAAUCAAUUUAAGCAAAUCCUGGGUCAUCCGACGCGCAGGAGGAACCCAGGACUUUGGGGUUGCAUUGGGGCCGAGGGGUCAGUGCUCCGUACCAGGGUGGACGAGGGCAUACUCCAAUGGGUUUCACAGGCGCUGAAGAGUGAAAAGCAGAGGCGGACAGAGGGAGUCACUGCUGAGCGCUGACAACCACUGGCUGAGCUGGACAGAGCCUGAGCUGGGACAGCCCACCUUUGUCACCUGGACGGGGCCCAUUCCAUGUCUGCAAAGCAACGUCACCCUUCACUUUAAAUGGAUGCCAUCUGUUUGAAUUCUAUUGGUUCUGUAGUUUUAUUUGAGCUUAAUUAGUAAAUUGUCUUGAUUUUAUUGUCAGAAGGAGCUAUAAUAACAAAGAGGUUAUACCUACCCUCAGGAAUUAGAAAAUUCGCUCUAGCCCUGCAGGGCCUGGAGAAAUACUGGUCCCUAGAAGGGUCUGUGUGUCAUGCAUAUUCCCAGGUUGUAGAUGAGGACGCUCAGAUGCAGCGUGUGACUGGCUCAAGGUCAGAGAACUGGCAGGUGAGCAGCGUGAGGACCAGCGCUGUGCCGGUUCCCCCGGCCAUUCCGCCCGCCCUUCCCUGCUCUGCUUAUACCACAUGUCACUUGUGCAUCGCCUGCCUCUCACCCCAGAAGUCAGUCCCUGAAGGGGGGGCACGUUCACGUACUGUGAUCACUGCUAUAUCCACAACACCAAGCACAGCGCUGGGCAUGGAAUAAACAAACGUGUCCUCCAGAUCUAGACCAUGACUGGACACAUAGGGGAUGCUCUUACAGACGAUUGUGCAAGGAAGGGAGGGAGGGAGAGAAAAGGAAGAGAGGAAUGACUCUCAUUGCUGUGUCAGAUCAACACAAGGGACACCCAGGGGAGAAGGCCAUAGGCACUUGCCUUAGGGGAUUCAAAGGGAAGGAUGUGUCAACUAAACAAGGCAGAUGCUGCAGUUGUCCUGCAGUGCCCAGGGGAGAGGGGCCUGGCCCUGCACACCUUGGUAUUUGGUUCCUGGUGGUCCAGGCCCCCAGCCUUGACCUGAGGGCCACCCAGAGGCCCCGCUCGCAAGCCCCUCUGAGGGAGCCUGGGCUUUGGGUCCACUGAACUUCAGGAAGGACGUGGCUGGAAGGGGGCUCUGCCAUGAUAAAUCAGUACUUGAUCAAAUGCUUGGCAGGGUGCCCUGCACACGGCAGAUGUCCAAAAAAUGUAGCUGUCAUUGGCUGUGGUGACUCCAGUCUCCAUGGCCGUGGGAGUGAGGUCCAUGCCAGCUGGAUCACGUUUGGGAUUGCUAAGAAGGAUUGUCCUCGAUCUGGGAAAGUUGAUGGUGGCCCCUGGACCAGUGACCCAACCGAGAACCCUCUGGUGGCCCUGGGCCAUCUCUUCCUGCAACCCUGAGCCUCUUGGGUUGACUCCACCCCUCCUUUGGGUUCUCCGAGCCCAUUCUCGGCCCUCGCAGGAGGAGCAGGUCAGUGGCGUGGUAUCAUCUGGAAACUAGGGCAAUGGAUUCCACCUUCUAGGGUUAUUGUGAAAAUUGUCAGAGCAAUUGCAAGACUCAGGGCAGACUCAGAUGUAGUCAUUUACUGUGAGGGAGGUGCUGUCAUUGUCCCCUCAUGGCUGAGACAACUGAGUCCAAGAGUGAUCACAACUCACCCCCGUCACACUGUCUGCAGGUGACAGAGCUGGGGUCCUGGGCCAGGUCUGGUCCCGGAGCCUGGCUUUUCCCUCUGCGCAGGAGUCCCCCUGCCCACGCCACUGCCCACCCCUGGCCAUGCAGGCCCAUCAAACCCAAGGUCACUCCCCCCAGGUGAGGGCUUGGCUUUGGGCAGUGGGGGCUGUCCAGGGGAUCUGGUGCCGGCAUGCAUACAGGCUUUCUAGCGUGCCUCAAAGUCAAAUUUCUAUUUCAGUGCUCCAAACCCCCUCCUCCUGGGGUCUUCCCAGGCUCAGUAAGUGGCACCACGGUUUACGCAGAUGUUCAACCUCACCUCUAGAGGCAACAUCUUGGUCUCUUCUCAAAUUCUCUUACUCCCCAAACACUGUCGGCUCCACCUUCAUACUGAACCCCGAAGCUGAUCAUUCACAUCACCUUUGGCACUGCCACCGCCAUCCCACUUCCAACUGGCUUUAUGCCAUAGCCCCGACUGCCUCUUUCUCCCUGGAUGGUCCCCACUCUGCUCUAUUCAGCAGCUGGAAUGAUUCCUUUAAAACGCAAGGCAGGCACAUCACUCCCAGGCUCAAAGCCUGCUAAUGGCUUCCUACGGCAACCGGCGCAAAACAGCGAGCUCUCCCCGUGGGCGAGGCCUGCCGUCUCCGGCAGCUCUCUGGCCUUUCCUUGGACCCUACUCCAACCACUCGCUGCCGACCUGUCACAUCGCUUCCUGCUGCCCCUUAAAGUCUCUGGGCUGCUGCCGUGCCCUCACUGUUCUCUCUGCCUAGAAUACUCUCCCAGAUGUUUGAGUGGCUCAUUCCCAAAACUCACGCAGGUGAGCUGGUCAGAGGUCCCCCUGGCUCCCCCCAGAGAUAAAAGCUCCUCCCCACCCUCCCCCAAUCCAGGGUGCGGCUCACUCAGAGCCUCUGACCGCUUGACCCUUUCCUCCAGGUUGCUUUCUGUCACCAUGGGACAUUCAAUGACAUAACUGCUCGUUUACUGACGCGUUUCCCCAACAAGAAUGCAAGAUGGUCUCUGUGGAUCUCUGCUGUAUUCCUGCAGCACGAGUGACCACGAAAGAGUUACCGAACGAGCAAAUGAUUGCACUCACAAUUGCAAACGCAGCGGAUCGCCACUUUCAGUGGCCUCCCUGCGCCGUGCCAGGCCCGUGUGCGCGACCGUUUACGAGAGUUAGCUCACUGUAUUUCUAAAACGACCACGGGAGGUAGGUCCUCAUAAUUCCCUUUUACAAAUAAGGAAUCUAAGGCUCAGAAAAUCCAAGGGAGACCACACAGCUAGCGACGGGCAGAGCCAGUCGAGACGCCAAGUCGGCCCGCCGCCCGAGACCCGGUGCCACCCCCUGCUCCACGCUGCUCGCUGGCAUUGCCCCGAGAUGCCCCGCUCCUGCCUGGCUCAGACGCGUCUCUGCCCAAGCGUUCUGGUAAUUAUUUCCAUCCCAGAAUUUGCCCCCUUCAUUAUCAAUGACCCUCAUUAUGCAUUUGUGUUUAAUAGGCCUUUCUCGCUUGUCUUCAAUCCUCACAAAUUCUGGGUCGCCAACAACACCUCCAAGAGUCCUGCCACGCAGCAGUGCAUGGGGACGGGGCGAGAGGCAGGGCCACACCUCCGUCGCUAAUGCAUUUUCCUCCAGGCUGACCGGCCUCAAGGACGCUGGCACGAGGCAGCCUCUGCUCCAAACCCAGCCUGGGACAAGACAAGCCGCUCCUGGGAAGCGUUCAGCAAAAGGCUGUGUUCCACAUUCAUGAUGAAAUGCAAAUUUCCAUGUUCAGGAGGGCCACUAGUCGCUUGCAAAAGAAUUCCAGCUGGUUAAAUUUAGGGGAUUGAACAAAUUCCAAACCAAGAAUAUUUUUCUGGCAAGUGCCAGAGCAAUUUCA
This is a non-coding RNA of Equus caballus (horse), 5763 nucleotides long. The record is from RefSeq and is a predicted model, not a curated record. Lineage: Eukaryota; Metazoa; Chordata; Mammalia; Perissodactyla; Equidae.